UUAUAAAAAUGAAUUUUAAUGUGUUUUAGCAGCAACAGACAAUAUAGUUCAGUGUUUUCUUUAGCAAGUUUUAAGCUAAUUGUUAGAUAUAUAUCAGUGUUUCCCAAACUGUGUUCCGCAGAACCCUAGUGUUCCUCGAGACCUGAAUAGGUUUUCCACAAACUAAUGGAAUAAUUAACUAGUAGGUCACCUGGUGAAUUAACUUUUAUAAAAAUAAGCAAAGUGUUCCGCCAACUACUCAUAAUGAGCGAAGGGUUCCCUUUCUUUUAAGCUUCAUCUAAAAAAUUAAGAGAAACAAAAAAACAGGCUCCCACAAUGGACUGUCAAUCUCAAGGUUUAUUCUGAACAUACGUUUUGUAAACACAGGCACAAUAGAAAAUAGCAAUGACCAUCUGACCAUAAUAAGAGAGAUAAGUGGUGCACAUAUUAACAGCGAUAGUUUAGCUUUGCAUUUCAAACAAUAUGCAGCAACAAGGAGUUUUACCUCAGUCACAACCAGGCAGGAGCAGGCAACAAGAUUAGACUUAUAAAGAACAGCUGUACAUUUUAUGAACUUUUGGAACAGCUGAAAAAUUGUAUUUAACUUAUAAGAACAGCUGUACAUUUGCAUGAGCUUAAAAGAACAGUUGUACAUUUUUAUUAAAAUAGUUUAUAGGUCAGAAAAAAAAAAUUUGCUGUAAUGAAAAAAGCUAAAAUUUUAUUGCAAUACUUUAAUUUGUCUACAAUAUCUUUCAAGAAAUAAUAAUGUCGAAGAUUAUAAAUUUCAUUUCUAAAAAUCUGUUUGCUCCUUUAAGAUAAAUGAGUAAUACAAAUUCUGUCAUUUUAUAUCAGCUUAAUUUCGCUUUUGUUUUAGCUGAGUCAUCUGAAUCAUUGGAAAGACAUUUUGAUGCUCUAAUGUAGUCCACACAUUACUUUGCGUCCAACAUCUACUAACCAUUGACUGAUCUAUUUGUGACCUUUUUGCAUAAGGGCCCAAAACUUAGUGAUAAGCUUCAAGGCAGUUUUAUAUUUUGUAAAAAGAAUUUAACAUUUUUUAUGACCAAUUAUAUUGACUUCAAAAUCAAAUCUAAAGCUCAAAUUGUUUACUAUGUUAUUUUUUAAAAAAAAUA
Non-coding RNA from Biomphalaria pfeifferi, 1109 nucleotides. Lineage: Eukaryota; Metazoa; Mollusca; Gastropoda; Planorbidae. The record is from the annotation of a GenBank genome assembly.